UGCGUAGGCGGGAUAUUAAGUCAGUGGUGAAAGCCCCGAGCUCAACUUGGGAACUGCCAUUGAAACUGAUGUUCUUGAAUAUAGUUGAGGUAGGCGGAAUACAGCAUGUAGCGGUGAAAUGCAUAGAUAUGCUGUAGAACACCAAUUGCGAAGGCAGCUUACUAAACUAUUAUUGACGCUGAGGCACGAAAGCGUGGGGAGCGAACAGGAUUAGAUACCCUGGUAGUCC
RNAcentral lists this ribosomal RNA (229 nucleotides) under uncultured bacterium. RNAcentral describes it as "partial 16S ribosomal RNA". It matches the Rfam family "Bacterial small subunit ribosomal RNA", at positions 568 to 796 of the family's 1533-position model. The record is from RNAcentral.